RNAcentral lists this ribosomal RNA (494 nucleotides) under uncultured bacterium. RNAcentral's name for it is "partial 16S ribosomal RNA". It matches the Rfam family "Bacterial small subunit ribosomal RNA", at positions 28 to 507 of the family's 1533-position model. The record is from RNAcentral.
GACGAACGCUGGCGGCGUGCUUAACACAUGCAAGUCGAACGGUGAAGCGCCUUCCUUUUUGGUGGGUGUGGAUGAGUGGCGAACGGGUGAGUAACACGUGAGUAACCUGCCCCCUUCUUCUGGAUAACCGCAUGAAAGUGUGGCUAAUACGGGAUAUUCUGGGUCUGUCGCAUGAUGGGUCUGGGAAAGAUAUUGUUUCGGUGGGGGAUGGGCUCGCGGCCUAUCAGCUUGUUGGUGGGGUGAUGGCCUACCAAGGCGGUGACGGGUAGCCGGCCUGAGAGGGUGGACGGUCACACUGGGACUGAGACACGGCCCAGACUCAUACGGGAGGCAGCAGUGGGGAAUAUUGAACAAUGGGCGAAAGCCUGAUGCAGCGAAGCCGCGUGAGGGAUGGAGGCCUUCGGGUUGUGAACCUCUUUCGCCAGUGAAGCAGGCCUGCCUCGUUUGUGGGUGGGUUGACGGUAGCUGGAUAAGAAGCGCCGGCUAACUACGUG